ACCGUGGCAUUUCCAGGGGCGCUGUAGGGGCAGGACCCGGGGGAGGCGAGGCGUUGCCAGGGGGCGUUACCAUGGCGUUGCCGGGGGCGCUGUAGGGGCAGGACCCAGGGGAGGCAGGGCAUUGCCAGGGGGCGUUACCGUGGCGUUGCCGGGGGCGCUGUAGGGGCAGGACCCAGGGGAGGCAGGGCGUUGCCAGGGGGCGUUACCGUGGCGUUGCCGGGGGCGCUGUAGGGGCAGUACAUCUCGGGGUCCUCCAGGGGUAGUUUCUCCAGGACCCC
Gopherus flavomarginatus (Mexican gopher tortoise) is the source of this 278-nucleotide long non-coding RNA. RefSeq lists it as uncharacterized. NCBI's taxonomy places the organism in Eukaryota, Metazoa, Chordata, Testudines, Testudinidae. The record is from RefSeq and is a predicted model, not a curated record. The transcript is spliced from 3 exons.